Non-coding RNA from Struthio camelus australis, 1812 nucleotides. The record is from RefSeq and is a predicted model, not a curated record. Lineage: Eukaryota; Metazoa; Chordata; Aves; Struthioniformes; Struthionidae.
UUGUAAUGAAGCGUACAGAUGCCGUGCGUCUCCUUCCUCAGAAUUUGCAAGGAAGAGUCGCUUUUCUUACCCGAUCCCCAACCGCUUGCGCGGCGUGGCCGUGUCCCGGCACGCUCGGAGCGUGGCGAGGCCGUCGCGCUGUGACCUGGCCGGCUUCGCCACACGCGCACCGAGGCGUUGCCAAAGCGUGGGUCUCUGCGAGGCCUCCCCUCCGCCAGGCUCGAUUUGCAAGGGUGGUCAGCCUAAGAGCUGGUUGCACUAGUCAGGGACUUCCCCAGGUAGGGGAAUUUUAACCCAGGCAGUUUGCUUCGGGUCUCAGUUCUUGUGGCAUCGCUGGAAAGGUGGGGGAGAAGCUACAAAAGAAGAAAAAUCUCCUGCUAGAUCUUUGGUUCUUAGGCAAUGCAGGAAAAUCCUGGAGUCUCUGGCCUCUCAUUCACAGGAGACUCCCGUUGUUAUUGAUGGGAGCUUUACGCAAACGAGGACUGACUAACAGCCAAAAGUUCUGGCCCUGUGAAUUAUGCCCAUGUGGCAUAAUGAGGCUCAAUUUGCUCAUGCCAUAUUGAAUGAAGACAUAAGAUUAUUUUAUUCUUUAACAGGAAGUGAUAUGAUUGAAUAUCUUCUUAGACCUUGAAAGAAUAUGAGCACGAUUCCUACAAUCAAUCAUCCAAAAAAACCUGUUUGUUUUUAUGGAUCGUUGCCUGCUCUGAAGUAAGAUGUUUAAAAUAAAUAGCACUGCAAAACACCUCUGCCCAGCUACUGAAAACAGGGACUUUUGAAGUGUUGGGUGCUCAAGGAGGAAAGCAACGCAAAACAAUGUUAUCCCUCUAAAAUAAGAUGUGUAAAAUAUACGUGCCUUGCAUAUCUGUAGCGAGAUUAAGCCAUCAGGCUGGCCAAACUGUGUUAAGAUAUAUUUGUAUCUGUAAGCUAAAAGAAAAAGGUCCCAUAUUAUCCCUGGCAAUAUGACUAUGAAUGAUAUAUAAGCACAUUGUACGGGUCUUUUUUAGACAUCUUUUGUUAUUGGUGCAUCUCCAGCUAGUAACUGAUAUUUCAGGAAGUGUGAAAGACUUUAUAAUCCAGUAUCUGAAAUUUACAUUUGCACUGAAUAUCUCUUUGCACACUUUGGCUUUAAUCUUACUAAGAUUUAUGCAUAUGCUUAUACUGAUGCAGUGAAAACAGUCCUACAAUAUGCUGUGAUCGCUCCUCACGGAAUAAAAAUGUUAAGCAGCUCUGCGUGUCUUGUCAGGUUUAGGUCCUAAACUUAUUCUGGAAAUGUGUGGUUACUGAUGCUUUUAGUUUAAGAAAGUUUAUCCUUGUUUUGUAAAAAUUCUGUUAAAACCGAUAUAUCUUUUGUCUGAAGUUUAUGCUUUUAUAAAGUUUCUGUCACACUGUAAACAAUUUGCAGUGUUUUAGAUACCAGACCUGUCCAUACAGAAAACUGGUGUUCACAGGAAAGACAACAUAGUCUUAAAAAUAAAGUGACAUUUUGAGUUGACUUCUUGAUUAGCUGCUUUGCACAGGAAGAAAUACUUUGAAAUGACUUAUGUGAAGAAAUGGCUAUUUUUGCUGUGCAUUCCAUUGCGAAGGUCUAUCAGGUAGUACUGUAAGAAAUAUACUUUAGUGUAACAAUUGUAAUUGAAAUUAUUAUGGUGAGUAUAUUUUCCUAAGCUAUUUUACAUUCAGAGCUGUUUUAUUGUAACUACUGAGUACCUUAGUAGGUAACCAGACACAAAUGCCACUCUCAUGAAUUUGCCAUUUUAGUAGAUAAUUACUACAGUGUUGUUACUGAUUCUUUAAUAAACCACAUUUAAUUUA